ACAGUGGACGCGAGCAUCUGUGGCCAAGUUUUUAAGGGCGCACGGUGGAUGCCUUGGCACCAGGAACCGAUGAAGGACGUGGGAGGCCACGAUAGGCCCCGGGGAGUCGUCAACCAGGCUUUGAUCCGGGGGUGUCCGAAUGGGGAAACCCGGCAGUCGUCAUGGGCUGUCACCCUUGCCUGAACACAUAGGGCAAGUGGAGGGAACGCGGGGAAGUGAAACAUCUCAGUACCCGCAGGAAGAGAAAACAACCGUGAUUCCGGGAGUAGUGGCGAGCGAAACCGGAUGAGGCCAAACCGUAUGCGUGUGAGACCCGGCAGGGGUUGCGUAUACGGGGUUGUGGGAUCUCUCUUUCACAGUCUGCCGGCUGUGAGGCGAGUCAGAAACCGUUGAUGUAGGCGAAGGACAUGCGAAAGGUCCGGCGUAGAGGGUAAGACCCCCGUAGCUGAAACAUUGACGGCUCGUUUGAGAGACACCCAAGUAGCACGGGGCCCGAGAAAUCCCGUGUGAAUCUGGCGGGACCACCCGCUAAGCCUAAAUAUUCCCUGGUGACCGAUAGCGGAUAGUACCGUGAGGGAAUGGUGAAAAGUACCGCGGGAGCGGAGUGAAAUAGUACCUGAAACCGUGUGCCUACAAGCCGUGGGAGCGUCGCGUUGAGUACUUGUACUCAACGUCGUGACUGCGUGCCUUUUGAAGAAUGAGCCUGCGAGUUUGCGGUGUGUUGCGAGGUUAACCCGGGUGGGGUAGCCGUAGCGAAAGCGAGUCCGAACAGGGCGUUUUAGUAGCACGCUCAAGACCCGAAGCGGAGUGAUCUAGCCAUGGGCAGGUUGAAGCGGAGGUAAGACUUCGUGGAGGACCGAACCCACCAGGGUUGAAAACCUGGGGGAUGACCUGUGGUUAGGGGUGAAAGGCCAAUCAAACUCCGUGAUAGCUGGUUCUCCCCGAAAUGCAUUUAGGUGCAGCGUCGUGUGUUUCUUGCCGGAGGUAGAGCACUGGAUAGGCGAUGGGCCCUACCGGGUUACUGACCUUAGCCAAACUCCGAAUGCCGGUAAGUGAGAGCGCGGCAGUGAGACUGUGGGGGAUAAGCUCCAUGGUCGAGAGGGAAACAGCCCAGAGCAUCGACUAAGGCCCCUAAGCGUACGCUAAGUGGGAAAGGAUGUGGAGUCGCAGAGACAACCAGGAGGUUGGCUUAGAAGCAGCCACCCUUGAAAGAGUGCGUAAUAGCUCACUGGUCUAGUGAUUCCGCGCCGACAAUGUAGCGGGGCUCAAGCGUACCGCCGAAGUCGUGUCAUUGCGAUAUAUACCCCCAACGGGGAUCGUGAUGGGUAGGGGAGCGUCGUGUGCCGGGUGAAGCAGCCGCGGAAGCGAGUUGUGGACGGUUCACGAGUGAGAAUGCAGGCAUGAGUAGCGAUACAAACGUGAGAAACGUUUGCGCCGAUUGACCAAGGGUUCCUGGGUCAAGCUGAUCUGCCCAGGGUAAGUCGGGACCUAAGGCGAGGCCGACAGGCGUAGUCGAUGGAUAACCGGUUGAUAUUCCGGUACCCGCUGUGAAGCGUCAAACAUUGAACCAGGCGAUGCUAAGUCCGUGAAGCCGUCCCGGAUCCUUCGGGUGAAGGGGAGUGGUGGAGCCGACGGACCAGACUUGCAGUAGGUGAGUGAUGGGGUGACGCAGGAAGGUAGUCCAUCCCGGGCGGUGGUUGUCCCGGGGUAAGGGUGUAGG
Molecule: ribosomal RNA, 1720 nt
Filed under: Streptomyces caniscabiei
Lineage: Bacteria; Bacillati; Actinomycetota; Actinomycetes; Kitasatosporales; Streptomycetaceae
Description: partial 23S ribosomal RNA
Rfam family: Bacterial large subunit ribosomal RNA
Source: RNAcentral